CAGUAGCCGCGGUAAUACAGAGGAUGCAAGCGUUAUCCGGAAUUAUUGGGCGUAAAGGGCUCGCAGGCGGUUUCUUAAGUCUGAUGUGAAAGCCCCCGGCUCAACCGGGGAGGGUCAUUGGAAACUGGGAAACUUGAGUGCAGAAGAGGAGAGUGGAAUUCCACGUGUAGCGGUGGAAUGCGUAGAGAUGUGGAGGAACACCAGUGGCGAAGGCGACUCUCUGGUCUGUAACUGACGCUGAGGAGCGAAAGCGUGGGGAGCGAACGGGAUUAGAUACCCCAGUAGUCCCUGUCUCUUAUAC
This 301-nucleotide ribosomal RNA is filed under the name uncultured bacterium. RNAcentral's name for it is "partial 16S ribosomal RNA". It matches the Rfam family "Bacterial small subunit ribosomal RNA", at positions 509 to 807 of the family's 1533-position model. The record is from RNAcentral.